Piliocolobus tephrosceles (Ugandan red Colobus) is the source of this 1780-nucleotide long non-coding RNA. NCBI's taxonomy places the organism in Eukaryota, Metazoa, Chordata, Mammalia, Primates, Cercopithecidae. The record is from Ensembl.
UUGUUUUAAUUGCUAAGAGCGCAUCUGUGGGUUUAUGCAUAAAAAUGUAAAAAUAUAUAUACACAUAUGUAGGUACUAUACAUGGCUUUACACAUAAACAUUUAUUAUGCUCAUCUUAAGUAUAUGCGUAGCCAUAAUUUUAUACUAACAAAAAUAUUUUAAAAACCUUAUUUACAAAUGUAUUAGUCACUAUAUUAAAAAUGUAAUCAUGUUUCUCAUGUAUUUAUAUACAAAAAAAAAAACAAAAAAAAACAAAAAAAAUAGUUAGCAAAUUAUAACGUAAAAUCUUAGAUAUAUAUAUGGGUGUGCUUAUAUUUAUAUAAAAUGAGUUUUAUAUGUAAGGUGGAAGAGGAUGACCUAGAUUUAAAAAAAAAACUACAUAACAUUUUGAUUGUGUUUGGACUAAUCGCUGAAAAUAUACUUUUAGAUAACAACUGUUUGGAAUAUGUAAAUAUCAAUAAUAUACAUAAAACAUUGUUUUAUUUAUUCAAAUGUAGAUAUUUAGACAUAUUAAAUUCCCUUGAGUUGCAAACGGAAAAGGGCAUGGAAGACCCCAAUAAUGACAGACCAAUAGAGCCAAGUAAAAUCAGCAAGGUCACACAGAAUAUAACAACCGCCACAAAUGAAAUAAAAACAAAUGAUGAUAAAAUAAACGAAGCAAAUGCUUUUAAAAAAGAACUCGAGUUAAAAUUUAAUGAUAUGUUUUUUUGUAGUAAAAAAAAAAUUAAAAGAGCAAAUUUUAUAUCUAUCACGAACUUAAAUUUUAUUAAAUAUGCAUUAACAAGUUGUAUAUUUAUGCAUGGAAAAAUAUAUAAUAAACUAUCAUCUUUAAGAAAUAUUUUUAAUGGCAUUGAUUAUAAUUUAUUUAUAUUACACCAUCAUUUGAAUAAGCAAAAUAGUAUACUAUCAUUAAUAUACAACGAAGCAGCAACAGUAAAAAAGAGUCGUAGUUUAAAAAAAAAGGAAUCUAAUAAUAAUAAAAAUAGUCAUAAAAAUAGUCAUAAAAAUAGUCAUAAAAAUAGUCAUAAAAAUAGUCAUAAUGGUAAUAAUGAUAGUAUAAGUAAUGACCAAGAUAAUACCAAAAUUGUUUUUUGUGAAAAAAAUAAAUUAUUUCUUAUGGAGAAGUUUAGUUUAUGUGCGUCAUCGUUCACACUGUCAAAUAAUAUUUUUAAAUAUUCAUUAUUAUAUGAAUUAAUGUUUAUAACUAAAUCUCCAUUUAUAAUAAAUAAUUUUAUUUUAUCAGUUUUUAAUGAUACACUUUGUAUACCUGAUAUAGAAAAUAAAUAUAGCGAUGUUGUUAUUGUUAUAUCUUGCAUUUUAUUUGUAAAUCAUUUUUUUUAUCAUAUUAACCUUCACAGUAAAAUAAAAUCACCGUUUGUUUUGGUAUUUAAAAAAUUAUAUCUUAAUCAAGUAAAUAAAAUUAUGAAUAUUUUUAUUAACCUAUGUCCAUAUAAUCAUUUAUCUGAAUUGAAAAAUGUUAUUGCCCUUACAAAACAAAUUGUCAAUUUAUAUUCCGUUAUGUAGUCAUACUAAAAAAAAAAGUUCACUUUUUUUUUUUUAAACCAUCAUUUGAUUUUGUGCAUACAUGUACACAUAUGCAUAUUAUAUAUACAUGUGAUUUGUUUUCUUUUCAUCUUACAUUUUUAAUAUCAACGCAUAUAUAUAUUCAUGUGGAUAGCGAAAAUUGUUUCAUUUCAUUCGUUUUAUUUUUUAACUUUACAAACGAUGCUCUUUCUAAAUGUAUAAUAAAAUUUUAGACAUAACUACUACUACGAACUUU